This 522-nucleotide long non-coding RNA is filed under the name Rattus norvegicus (Norway rat). Its description in RNAcentral is "long non-coding RNA NONRATT004971". Lineage: Eukaryota; Metazoa; Chordata; Mammalia; Rodentia; Muridae. The record is from RNAcentral.
AGAACGAGUUGCAAAAUGUGUCCCUGAAUGCAGCAUAAAAGUAGUUGUGAAAUGUGCCAGGUAAAGGCACAGGCUAGGCUGGCCUCCGUGGCAUAGAAAUGCAUGGAAGAAGUGUUAUUAGGGAUAUGAAUAAUUCCUUUGGGGAAGGAGGUGUACUAUAAUAAAAGACUAAUAGGGCUCUUUGCUACAUAUUCUGUCGUAGGAGAUCGAGAGGAGCUGCGAUUUUUGACAUAGGGAAAGUACCCACGUGAAAGCAAAAAAAAAAAAAAAAAAAAAGCAGAUUGUCUGGUUGUGAGAUGGGAAAGAAAAAAAUUGGGCAAAAAUCAUUUCAGGUUUUGUCAUCAGCAGGUAGAGCACCCAUGCAAUUGUAGCCUGUCUCUCGGUUCCAGGUGUGGAAUGUUUAAAAUGUUUCCCAGAAAACAUAAACAAUGAUCAUUAGCAUUAGGAAAAGAUUGGAUGUCUUUCCUUCUCUCUCUGCUUCUCUCCAGGAAAACAAAAAACCCCACAAACAAAAAAAGACAA